UCGUAACAAGGUUUCCGUAGGUGAACCUGCGGAAGGAUCAUUACCGAGUGCGGGCUGCCUCCGGGCGCCCAACCUCCCACCCGUGACUACCUAACACUGUUGCUUCGGCGGGGAGCCCCCCAGGGGCGAGCCGCCGGGGACCACUGAACUUCAUGCCUGAGAGUGAUGCAGUCUGAGCCUGAAUACAAAUCAGUCAAAACUUUCAACAAUGGAUCUCUUGGUUCCGGCAUCGAUGAAGAACGCAGCGAACUGCGAUAAGUAAUGUGAAUUGCAGAAUUCAGUGAAUCAUCGAGUCUUUGAACGCACAUUGCGCCCCCUGGCAUUCCGGGGGGCAUGCCUGUCCGAGCGUCAUUGCUGCCCUCAAGCCCGGCUUGUGUGUUGGGUCGUCGUCCCCCCCGGGGGACGGGCCCGAAAGGCAGCGGCGGCACCGUGUCCGGUCCUCGAGCGUAUGGGGCUUUGUCACCCGCUCGAUUAGGGCCGGCCGGGCGCCAGCCGGCGUCUCCAACCUUAUUUUUCUCAGGUUGACCUCGGAUCAGGUAGGGAUACCCGCUGAACUUAAGCAUAUCAAUAA
Molecule: unclassified non-coding RNA, 571 nt
Filed under: Aspergillus nidulans
Lineage: Eukaryota; Fungi; Ascomycota; Eurotiomycetes; Eurotiales; Aspergillaceae
Description: sequence contains 18S rRNA gene, ITS1, 5.8S rRNA gene, ITS2, 28S rRNA gene
Rfam family: 5.8S ribosomal RNA (bases 198-351)
Source: RNAcentral